MicroRNA precursor from Aotus nancymaae (Ma's night monkey), 100 nucleotides. NCBI's taxonomy places the organism in Eukaryota, Metazoa, Chordata, Mammalia, Primates, Aotidae. The record is from Ensembl.
GAGGUGGGAGGAUUGCUUGAGCCUGGGAUUUUGAGUAUGUAGUGAGUUAUGAUCUCACCACUGCACUCCAGCCUGAGUGACAGAGCAAGACCUUGUCUCA